This 200-nucleotide long non-coding RNA is filed under the name Prunus persica (peach). Its description in RNAcentral is "long non-coding RNA (PPER_LNC007145)". Lineage: Eukaryota; Viridiplantae; Streptophyta; Magnoliopsida; Rosales; Rosaceae. The record is from RNAcentral.
UUUAUUUGGCAUGACAUGUGGUCGUGGCUCGUGCAAGCAUGCAUGAUGAACUUUCGCAUGCCCAAAUCGGGUUUCUUCUCGAUAAAGUAUCGCAUUGGGCAGAGAAUCUAUUUGGGCCAAACCCUGGAUUUUUUGGGCCUCAACACCGCCAUACUCUUUCUCUCUCACACACAAGGCUCCAGCCACCACAUACGACUCAG